GGACUAUGGGCCCUGUGAUAACCCAUGUUCAAAAGUACUGUUUCUGCCCCUUGGACUUUUAACUGGAACAGAUUCAAACAUGUGGCGGCGGCCAUCUUAAAUUGUCCAGCGGUGUUUUGUCGUCGAGUGUAUGGAACUGUUUUGGGCAUGGGACCAUGUGCACUGUGGGGCAAAAAUAAGACUUUCAGGAAAUUCCUGAACCCC
RNAcentral lists this long non-coding RNA (204 nucleotides) under Pelobates cultripes (western spadefoot toad). The record is from RNAcentral. Lineage: Eukaryota; Metazoa; Chordata; Amphibia; Anura; Pelobatidae.